Molecule: ribosomal RNA, 468 nt
Filed under: uncultured bacterium
Lineage: Bacteria
Description: partial 16S ribosomal RNA
Rfam family: Bacterial small subunit ribosomal RNA
Source: RNAcentral
GACGAACGCUGGCGGCGUGCUUAACACAUGCAAGUCGAACGGAAAGGCCCUGCUUUUGUGGUGUGCUCGAGUGGCGAACGGGUGAGUAACACGUGAGUAACCUGCCCUUGACUUUGGGAUAACUUCAGGAAACUGGGGCUAAUACCUGAUAUGAGCUCCUGCUGCAUGUUGGGGGUUGGAAAGUUUCGGCGGUUGGGGAUGGACUCGCGGCUUAUCAGCUUGUUGGUGGGGUAGUGGCUUACCAAGGCUUUGACGGGUAGCCGGCCUGAGAGGGUGACCGGCCACAUUGGGACUGAGAUACGGCCCAGACUCAUACGGGAGGCAGCAGUGGGGAAUAUUGCAAAAUGGGCGGAAGCAUGAAGCAGCAACGCCGCGUGCGGGAUGACGGCCUUAGGGUUGGAAACCGCUUUCGCCUGUGACGAAGCGUGAGUGACGGUAAUGGGUAAAGAAGCACCGGCUAACUACGUG